UAGGGAAUCUUCCGCAAUGGACGAAAGUCUGACGGAGCAACGCCGCGUGAGUGAAGAAGGAUUUCGGUUCGUAAAACUCUGUUGUUAGGGAAGAAAAAAUGUAUAGUAACUAUAUACAAAAGAGACGGUACCUAACCAGAAAGCCACGGCUAACUACGUGCCAGCAGCCGCGGUAAUACGUAGGUGGCAAGCGUUGUCCGGAAUUAUUGGGCGUAAAGCGCGCGCAGGUGGUUUAGAAAGUCUGAUGUGAAAGCCCACGGCUCAACCGUGGAGGGUCAUUGGAAACUAAUAAACUUGAGUGCAGGAGAGAAAAGUGGAAUUCCUAGUGUAGCAGUGAAAUGCGUAGAGAUUAGGAGGAACACCGGUGGCGAAAGCGGCUUUUUGGCCUGCAACUGACACUGAGGCGCGAAAGCGUGGGGAGCAAACAGG
This 429-nucleotide ribosomal RNA is filed under the name Verrucomicrobiota bacterium. Its description in RNAcentral is "Verrucomicrobia bacterium partial 16S ribosomal RNA". It matches the Rfam family "Bacterial small subunit ribosomal RNA", at positions 355 to 776 of the family's 1533-position model. Lineage: Bacteria; Pseudomonadati; Verrucomicrobiota. The record is from RNAcentral.